UUGGUGCCGUUAGAGCAGCUUCCAUGACCUGCCCUUUUAUACACGGGCCUCAAGUAAUCAAGAUGGAGAAGGAAGGGAGGAGAGAGUUAGCUUCCAUACCUCAUGGAAACACCCUCAGACAUCACCAUCUAUGCCAGCCUCAAGAGUGAUGAAUGCCUGGCGUGAGGGCUGAAAGUACGAACCAAAAGCAGAGACAUGAAAUGGGAGACAAGAAGGAAACAUUCUGCUGACUUCACCGUUUUCUUGGAGGUGGGAUCCAGCCCAGAGCUGUUACAUUCUUAC
Molecule: long non-coding RNA, 282 nt
Filed under: Mus spicilegus (steppe mouse)
Lineage: Eukaryota; Metazoa; Chordata; Mammalia; Rodentia; Muridae
Description: lncRNA (ENSMSIG00000006233.1)
Source: RNAcentral